Molecule: ribosomal RNA, 376 nt
Filed under: uncultured organism
Description: bacterial SSU rRNA
Rfam family: Bacterial small subunit ribosomal RNA
Source: RNAcentral
CGGAGGGUGCGAGCGUUGUCCGGAAUCAUUGGGCGUAAAGGGCGCGUAGGUGGCCCGGUCAGUCUUUGGUGAAAGCGCGGGGCUCAACCCUGCGUCGGCCAGGGAUACUGCCGCGGCUCGAGCACUGUAGAGGCAGGCGGAAUUCCGGGUGUAGCGGUGGAAUGCGUAGAGAUCCGGAAGAACACCGGUGGCGAAGGCGGCCUGCUGGGCAGUUUGGCUGACACUGAGGCGCGACAGCGUGGGGAGCAAACAGGAUUAGAUACCCUGGUAGUCCACGCCGUAAACGAUGGGCACUAGGCGCUUGGGGGAGCGACCCCCCGAGGGCCGGCGCUAACGCAUUAAGUACCCCCGCCUGGGGAGUACGGCCGCAAGGCUG